RNA transcript from Carya illinoinensis, 3233 nucleotides. RefSeq lists it as uncharacterized. Lineage: Eukaryota; Viridiplantae; Streptophyta; Magnoliopsida; Fagales; Juglandaceae. The transcript is spliced from 4 exons. The record is from RefSeq and is a predicted model, not a curated record.
CCAUUCACAUAACGAAAGGGUGAUACUCCCAGCCGGUCGGAUAUGUAGUUUUUUUCACACCCACCAAGUAAAAUGCAUUUGCACUCUCAUGCAGAUGAUCUCUUUCUCUCACCCUCUCCCUCCUCCCACCCACGUCCUGCUCCCCUUCUAUCUCCUAUCUCUCUCUCUUCUCUCUCUAAAAGACUCUCUCUCUGAUGUUGGGUUGUAAAAUACGCUCUCUACAAAGUUUUUGAGAGAGUUGUUGUCAUAGCAAGAAAGAGGGGAGAGUGAGAAAAAAUGAUUCCGCAACAGUGGGCAUCGCCUUGCAGAAAUACGUGCACGAAUAAGUGCGCAAAGCUGAUGCAGAUUCCAUGUUAAUGUGUAUUGUACCUUGCUCGAUUUGUUUAUUCGAUCACGGUAUAAUCUUUGAAUUUCUAUUUAUUUUAAUACCGGUAAAUUCUUCUCGGUAAUGUUUAAAUGUUUACCCAUUUUACUCCUUUUGGCGUUCUUUCGGUGAACCCCCGAGCGUAUAGGCCAACUUUGCUUAGCUUUGGAAAUUUCUAACACGUUUAGAACUAAACUUCGAAGGAAAAAAAGAUUUUACGAAAAGUUCCCCCUCUAAAUGCAUCAAGAGCUGGAGCACCCUCGAUGGUCUUGAAUGAACUGCCGCUUCUUUCAACGGAAGUUCAUGUAGUUAAACACUCUCUUCUUGGAAUCUCCAGCUUUUAGAAGUCGGCGUAGGUGAAUCAUAUGCGUUGUAGGCAGGAUCCACUGUAAUACCAAGUGCAUGUUAUGUAAAGUUGCUUGAUGGAUGAUGGAGUACUAUUAGUUCUUCAGUGUUAGAUGACAACAUGCAAGUAGUAGAAAGAAAUCUACGCCCUAACCUUUUAAUAUCUAUCUUCAACAUUUUGACCGAUUCUUACUGAUUGAGUCAAGAUGAAGAUGUUCUAAUUCCAUUCUGUUUGGUUCUUUCUUUUUGAAGUGUUUAUCAUAUUUACCGUGGUUGGAUUCUCAUUUUUCUUUACCGGUGCUUGUUUUGGGCUUCUUUGGGUGAAUUCUCAUUAUUCACAGUUAAGCUUUUCCAGUCCUCGAGGUUUAUGUUGCUUUUCUCUUAGUUAGUGCUACUGUUCUUCAUUUUUGCAUUGUGCUACUCAUGUAUGACAAUAUAUCGUCGAAACCAUAAUGAGAAACAUUUGGCCACACAUUAGUGGGAAACCACACAUAAUGAGAAACCAUAAUGUCUGGUUUCCCACUAAUGAUUUUCCUAACUAAUGAGUGCACCACAUCUAUACGCUCUCUAUCAAAGACAAUAACUGCCAAUGUUGGAUAUCCCCCCACCUAUCUCUAUUUCCUUCUCUCAGAUUCUGGUUUCCCCAAUUAAAUCCUACAGAUUUACCCAGUCUGCACUUCUAGAAUUAUGAAGUAUAACUUUCUUUUAUGUUGAUCUUUUCAGCAAUUCCACUAUGCCGAAUAAGAUACCUUAUUUAACCAUGUUUGUUUAGUAACUGAUAAUAGCAAUAUUGAUGUAAAACCAUCUCAUGAAUGCCAUUUUAUUAUGGCACCUACUUUGUAGGAUCACAUGGGCGCGAGUUACCCUUGUUUAGGUUAUAACAAGUAUAUAUAGUUCAUGUAUAAGCCUUAAUUAAUUUAAACUGUUUGAAGAGUGGUGCUGUGACCCAGAGGUUUCACUUCAUGCAAGAUUCUUUAUAACAUUUCUACUCUCUAUCAGUUCAAGAAGGACAUUGGGAUCUAAUUCUUAUGCUUGUUUUGGGUCUCUUUUGUGUAUUACUCAGUAGUCACUUCAAAGUCCUUGUGCUGGAAUUUGUUACAAUAAGUAUAUAGUGCUCUUUUAAAAUUUAAAACUACUGAUUAAAUACAGUAUGGAUUCUUGUAGGGCGAGUAUUUUGCAAAAAGGCAUGCGAUACUGAUGGAGAGAUGUGGGAAGAAUGCAAGUUUUUCUUACCUGAUUCGUGUCAAUUUUGCUUCUAAAUCAUUUAGGUCGGGUGUUUAUAUUUUUUCAUUUUAAAUUCAUAUUUGAAACCGUUCAUUUUCUCGAACUGAUUACCAUAUUAUUUUUGGAUGCUAAUUCUUUCUGAGGUUUGUACUCAUCAAAUCUAGAGCUUGAUUCAAAUCCUUUUAAGGUAUUUGUGUUGUACUUGAGCCGGAUCAACACUCUAGUGUAUGCAGUAGUUUGGCUCCAUUUGUUUCUAGCAAAGUAAGUUAGGAAAUCAAUUUUGUAAGGGAUUUUUUAUUAGAAAGAAUGUGCUAACCUAUUGAGGAGAUGUUCGUUGGAAAUUUAAAAAAUGGACCUAAAAUCCCCUUAGUUACUCUUAAGGGUGUGCCUGUGUUGGUAGACCUGUACUCGCUUCUUGAGUUAUUUUGUAUUUAAGAUUCUUUUAUUGGGACUUGUUAGGCUUGUAUUGAGGCUAUUUUGGAGAUUUUCUAAAUAUGAAAAUCUCCUAUCUAUUUCACAUUUGUUGGACUACAUAUUUUGUUGUGUGUAUUUGGAGAUUAUAGGCUAGUGAUAUAUCUAUGUUUGAUAGUUUUUCACAAUUUGGAGAGAACUUUAUAUGGUUUGAAUGUCAACAAAAAAUUAGGAUGCUUGUUUUCAGGUUUAGUUUAGUUCAAGUAAUUGGUGUUAACAUACUGGUCAUGCAUGCAAAUCUAGAUUUCAGGUUUGGGUCAGCCGGUAGCUCCAGUGGCCCCUAGAAAACAUUGCCCCAUCCCUUAGAUAUAAAGGGAUGCUUGUUAGGGUUAUUACAGCUACUCUAUGGGAUUAAUACUCUUCUUACUUACAGAAGUUUCCCACCUACUUGACAGUCUUGAGCACUGCUCUUCUCUGUUUUAAAGGGGAGAACUUGAAUUAGCUGGUGUCUUGAAAAUGGCCGUUAAAACACACUCUCGGUUCACUUUAGCUUGGAUAUUUUUUAAACAAUGAUUUAUCCAUACAUUGGACCUGAUAUGUAAUAAAUCAUUGGUUUGAAGAGCUCUUUUACGAACACAAAAAAAAAGUGCAUACUGAUACAUGGGAGCGGGAAGUCAAUAUUUAUUCUUGUAGUUGUUUACAAGCUUCACUUGAGAAGAUAUUGCAUUUCCAGGCUUGGAGGAGUGCGAUGAGCUAUGCUAUAAGGACCCUGUACUAAAGGGCCGCAAGUGGAGUGCCUACUUUGAUCGUUCUCCCGGUGCUGCAGUCAACUCAGAGUUCCUCGUGAUCGCGCUUGAGGUUUUAUAAGAAACGCGGAGAUCGAGGUAAG